GCUGGGCACGGUGGCUCAUGCCUGUAAUCCCAGCACUUUGGGAGGCCGAGGUGGGUGGAUCACCUGAGGCCAGGAGUUCGAGACCAGCCUGGCCAACAUGGUGAAACCCCGUCUCUA
This is an unclassified non-coding RNA of Pongo abelii (Sumatran orangutan), 117 nucleotides long. It matches the Rfam family "Metazoan signal recognition particle RNA". Rfam says of the family: The signal recognition particle (SRP) is a universally conserved ribonucleoprotein. It is involved in the co-translational targeting of proteins to membranes. The eukaryotic SRP consists of a 300-nucleotide 7S RNA and six proteins: SRPs 72, 68, 54, 19, 14, and 9. NCBI's taxonomy places the organism in Eukaryota, Metazoa, Chordata, Mammalia, Primates, Hominidae. The record is from Ensembl.